GAUUCGAAAGGUCCAAAUUUUAAAAUGGAAUAAUCUAAAAACUAUGCAAGGCGUUAUUAUCUUUAGCAACAGAUUUUCAAAGCUAGUGGGAGGCAUACGAAACAAAAUAUAAAAAAGUGUCGAUGAUAUCAAAGUGCUAGAAACCAUGGGAAUAUAAUAUACAUCCCUUUACUAUAAAAACCAUAAUAAUUAGAUCAUAUACUCCAACAAGUGAUUCACCAUCAAUCAAACUAAAUCCUUAAACAACAUUGAGGGGUUGCACAAAACAUGUGCUACCGUCUGGAAUGUGCAACAUGUGGAAAAUACACAUGGGGAGGGUGUGGUAAACACUUGACCACACUUUAUGGGAGUAUUGAUGAGGGAAUGCAUUGCAUGUGCCGCUCAUGGCCUGGCGUAGUUAUACCCUCCCAGCAACGCACAAACACAACCAGUAACCAAUCAUCAUCUUCUUCUAAUGGAAAUGAGGAUGCACAAAGUUCUUGAAGUUGUUUCCUAUCGAUGCUGAUCCGCAACAAAUAUAAUAACAAAGUGCUAAGGAUGAUUUGAUAUUAAUAAUAAUAAUAAUAACAAUAAUAAUGCAAUGUAGGAUUGGUUAUCGUGUUAUAAUGACCAACAUUUAUAACCUGUAUUAUUUUCUAUGUUAGAACUUAUUAAUAAAGAUGAAUUCAUUUUUUCUUGUCAA
Long non-coding RNA from Vicia villosa (hairy vetch), 682 nucleotides. RefSeq lists it as uncharacterized. The record is from RefSeq and is a predicted model, not a curated record. NCBI's taxonomy places the organism in Eukaryota, Viridiplantae, Streptophyta, Magnoliopsida, Fabales, Fabaceae. The transcript is spliced from 2 exons.